This 141-nucleotide ribosomal RNA is filed under the name uncultured bacterium. RNAcentral describes it as "partial 16S rRNA". It matches the Rfam family "Bacterial small subunit ribosomal RNA", at positions 355 to 511 of the family's 1533-position model. The record is from RNAcentral.
UGGGGAAUUUUCCGCAAUGGGCGAAAGCCUGACGGAGCAAUGCCGCGUGGAGGUGGAAGGCCUACGGGUCAUCAACUUCUUUUCUCGGAGAAGAAACAAUGACGGUAUCUGAGGAAUAAGCAUCGGCUAACUCUGNGUCAG